CUACACACUUGGUCGGAAGGCAUCUCAGAUACCCCACAAAGAAGCUGGACAAGGCUUAUUUGUAGAUGGUGAAGCUGAUGUUGGCAUUGUGAUUGCCUUGUACUCUGGCGUGAUAUACACCCCACCUUAUUAUCGUCAUAUCCCUGGAUACCCAAGAGUGUAGCCAAUGAUAUCUUUCAACCUCCAUGAAACUUCUGCACUUUUCAAUGGUCUUGUCUCAGACAUAGCUGUGCUGG
Molecule: unclassified non-coding RNA, 236 nt
Filed under: Hevea brasiliensis (rubber tree)
Lineage: Eukaryota; Viridiplantae; Streptophyta; Magnoliopsida; Malpighiales; Euphorbiaceae
Source: RNAcentral